UACAGAGGUCUCAAGCGUUGUUCGGAUUCAUUGGGCGUAAAGGGUGUGUAGGUGGCGCGCUAAGUCGGGGGGGAAAUUUCGGAGCUUAACUCCGAAACUGCAUUCGAUACUGGCGUGCUUGAGGACUGGAGAGGAGACUGGAAUUCAUGGUGUAGCAGUGAAAUGCGUAGAGAUCAUGAGGAAGACCAGUGGCGAAGGCGGGUCUCUGGACAGUUCCUGACACUGAGACACGAAGGCCAGGGGAGCAAACGGG
RNAcentral lists this ribosomal RNA (253 nucleotides) under uncultured bacterium. Its description in RNAcentral is "partial 16S ribosomal RNA". It matches the Rfam family "Bacterial small subunit ribosomal RNA", at positions 524 to 776 of the family's 1533-position model. The record is from RNAcentral.